GGGGAAUAUUGCACAAUGGGCGAAAGCCAGAUGCAGCGACGCCGCGUGAGCGAUGAAGGCCUUCGGGUCGUAAAGCUCUGUCCUAAGGGAAGAAUAUUGACGGUACCUUAGGAGGAAGCCCCGGCUAACUUCGUGCCAGCAGCCGCGGUAAUACGUAGGGGGCGAGCGUUGUCCGGAUUUACUGGGCGUAAAGGGUGCGUAGGCGGCCUUGUAAGUCAGAUGUGAAAGGCUACGGCUCAACCGUAGUAAGCAUUUUGAAACUGCAGGGCUGUGAGUGCAGGAGAGGAGAGUGGAAUUCCUAGUGUAGCGGUGAAAUGCGUAGAUAUUAGGAGGAACACCAGUGGCGAAGGCGACUCUCUGGACUGUAACUGACGCUGAGGCACGAAAGCGUGGGGAGCAAACA
This 403-nucleotide ribosomal RNA is filed under the name uncultured Eubacteriales bacterium. Its description in RNAcentral is "bacterial SSU rRNA". It matches the Rfam family "Bacterial small subunit ribosomal RNA", at positions 356 to 774 of the family's 1533-position model. Lineage: Bacteria; Bacillati; Bacillota; Clostridia; Eubacteriales. The record is from RNAcentral.